RNAcentral lists this ribosomal RNA (303 nucleotides) under uncultured bacterium. RNAcentral describes it as "partial 16S ribosomal RNA". It matches the Rfam family "Bacterial small subunit ribosomal RNA", at positions 507 to 808 of the family's 1533-position model. The record is from RNAcentral.
AGCAGUCGCCGCGGUAAUACGAAGGGUGCAAGCGUUACUCGGAAUUACUGGGCGUAAAGCGUGCGUAGGUGGUGAGUUAAGUCUGCUGUGAAAUCCCCGGGCUCAACCUGGGAAUGGCAGUGGAUACUGGCUCGCUAGAGUGUGUCAGAGGAUGGUGGAAUUCCCGGUGUAGCGGUGAAAUGCGUAGAGAUCGGGAGGAACAUCAGUGGCGAAGGCGGCCAUCUGGGACAACACUGACGCUGAGGCACGAAAGCGUGGGGAGCAAACAGGAUUAGAUACCCCAGUAGUCCCUGUCUCUUUACA